RNAcentral lists this ribosomal RNA (305 nucleotides) under uncultured Pseudomonas sp. RNAcentral's name for it is "bacterial SSU rRNA". It matches the Rfam family "Bacterial small subunit ribosomal RNA", at positions 1075 to 1382 of the family's 1533-position model. Lineage: Bacteria; Pseudomonadati; Pseudomonadota; Gammaproteobacteria; Pseudomonadales; Pseudomonadaceae. The record is from RNAcentral.
UUGGGUUAAGUCCGUACGAGCGCAACCCUGUCCUUAGUUACCAGCACGUUAUGGUGGGCACUCUAAGGAGACUGCCGGUGACAAACCGGAGGAAGGUGGGGAUGACGUCAAGUCAUCAUGGCCCUUACGGCCUGGGCUACACACGUGCUACAAUGGUCGGUACAAAGGGUUGCCAAGCCGCGAGGUGGAGCUAAUCCCAUAAAACCGAUCGUAGUCCGGAUCGCAGUCUGCAACUCGACUGCGUGAAGUCGGAAUCGCUAGUAAUCGUGAAUCAGAAUGUCACGGUGAAUACGUUCCCGGGCCUU